CCCCACUCCUGUUGAAAAUGAAUAGAGGAUAUUUCCUUCUCUUGCAGCCGUAGUGAUGAACCUUUCACAGUUUGUAUGAAGCCCCCCACUAUCCAAAGCAGACAGGAAAGUCCCCACAUGUUGGAAUGGGAUGCUACACUGUUCCCAGGGCAGCAGCCCUUCAUCGUUCCUUCUGUACAGAAUUUUUCAAGGAGUACGCGGUCUCAAAUUCUGGAUAGAGACCCUCCCUCAGUCAUCAGCUGGAACAGCCAAGCAACUCCUCUGCAGUGUGGAUCCAGGGGACAAAGUGACUCAUAAUCCUUCAGUGGUGAUGUUACUAUUAGAAGUCAGAUCCAGCCGCAAAUAUGUAACCCAGUAAGAUAGCCAUAGGAAAAUAAAUUCAAGAGAGAUUAUCCCCUAUUCCA
Long non-coding RNA from Theropithecus gelada (gelada), 404 nucleotides. The record is from Ensembl. Lineage: Eukaryota; Metazoa; Chordata; Mammalia; Primates; Cercopithecidae.